GCGGGCCAUGGGCAAGGGCGGGCUCCCCGGCGGCCUGCCGGGCGGCGGCGUCCCGCCGAUGCCGCCCGGGUUCGGCGGCAAGGGGCCGGGCC
This 92-nucleotide transfer RNA is filed under the name Chelatococcus reniformis. Its description in RNAcentral is "tRNA-Gly". Lineage: Bacteria; Pseudomonadati; Pseudomonadota; Alphaproteobacteria; Hyphomicrobiales; Chelatococcaceae. The record is from RNAcentral.